RNAcentral lists this unclassified non-coding RNA (406 nucleotides) under soil metagenome. RNAcentral's name for it is "partial contains 5.8S ribosomal RNA, internal transcribed spacer 2, and large subunit ribosomal RNA". The stretch from base 1 to 122 matches the Rfam family "5.8S ribosomal RNA", at positions 35 to 154 of the family's 154-position model. The record is from RNAcentral.
GAUGAAGAACGUAGCAAAAUGCGAUACUUGGUGUGAAUUGCAGAAUCCCGUGAACCAUCGAGUUUUUGAACGCAAGUUGCGCCCGAAGCCUUUUGGCCGAGGGCACGUCUGCCUGGGCGUCACGCAUCGCGUCGCCCCCCCACAAUUCUCCGUAAAGGGAACUUGUGUUUUGGGGGCGGAUAUUGGUCUCCCGUGCUCAUGGCGUGGUUGGCCGAAAUAGGAGUCCUUUCGAUGGACGCACGAACUAGUGGUGGUCGUAAAAACCCUCGUCUUUUGUUUCGUGCUGUUGCUCGCAAGGUAAACUCUUUAAAAACCCCAAUGUGUCGUCUCUUGACGACGCUUCGACCGCGACCCCAGGUCAGGCGGGACUACCCGCUGAGUUUAAGCAUAUCAAUAAGCGGAAGGA